Salvelinus fontinalis (brook trout) is the source of this 1568-nucleotide long non-coding RNA. RefSeq lists it as uncharacterized. The record is from RefSeq and is a predicted model, not a curated record. The transcript is spliced from 2 exons. Lineage: Eukaryota; Metazoa; Chordata; Actinopteri; Salmoniformes; Salmonidae.
UAUUAUUAUUAUAUUAUUAUAGGUUAUUUUUAUUAUAUUACUAUAUUAUAGGAUAUUAUUGUUAUAUUACUAUAUUAUAGGAUAUUAUUAUGAUAUUAUUAUAUUACUAUGUUAUAUUACUAUAUUAUAGAACGCUGCAAACCAAAAGCUACAUACCUGAGAGGACCUUGUGUUUUUAGCCUGACAUUGCAACACAGGAAGCAGCUGGAGGCGAGAGACUUAGAUUACAGUACAGUGGUUUAGGUCUAGGCCACAUACAGCAGUUAAUGAUGACCUUGUCCUCAUGUAUUAGUUAUGAUGAGGUCUAGGCAGUUAAUGAUGACCUUGUCCUCAUGUGUUUAGUUAUGAUGAGGUCUAGGCCACAUACAGCAGUUAAUGAUGACCUUGUCCUCAUGUGUUAGUUAUGAUGAGGUCUAGGCCACAUACAGCAGUUAAUGAUGACCUUGUCCUCAUGUGUUAGUUAUGAUGAGGUCUAGGCAGUUAAUGAUGACCUUGUCCUCAUGUGUUUAGUUAUGAUGAGGUCUAGGCAGUUAAUGAUGACCUUGUCCUCAUGUGUUUAGUUAUGAUGAGGUCUAGGCAGUUAAUGAUGACCUUGUCCUCAUGUGUUUAGUUAUGAUGAGGUCUAGGCCACAUACAGCAGUUAAUGAUGACCUUGUCCUCAUGUGUUAGUUAUGAUGAGGUCUAGGCCACAUACAGCAGUUAAUGAUGACCUUGUCCUCAUGUGUUUAGUUAUGAUGAGGUCUAGGCAGUUAAUGAUGACCUUGUCCUCAUGUGUUUAGUUAUGAUGAGGUCUAGGCAGUUAAUGAUGACCUUGUCCUCAUGUGUUAGUUAUGAUGAGGUCUAGGCCACAUACAGCAGUUAAUGAUGACCUUGUCCUCAUGUGUUUAGUUAUGAUGAGGUCUAGGCAGUUAAUGAUGACCUUGUCCUCAUGUGUUUAGUUAUGAUGAGGUCUAGGCAGUUAAUGAUGACCUUGUCCUCAUGUGUUAGUUAUGAUGAGGUCUAGGCCACAUACAGCAGUUAAUGAUGACCUUGUCCUCAUGUGUUUAGUUAUGAUGAGGUCUAGGCAGUUAAUGAUGACCUUGUCCUCAUGUGUUUAGUUAUGAUGAGGUCUAGGCCACAUACAGCAGUUAAUGAUGACCUUGUCCUCAUGUGUUUAGUUGUGAUGAGGUCUAGGCCACAUACAGCAGUUAAUGAUGACCUUGUCCUCAUGUGUUAGUUAUGAUGAGGUCUAGGCAGUUAAUGAUGACCUUGUCCUCAUGUGUUAGUUAUGAUGAGGUCUAGGCCACAUACAGCAGUUAAUGAUGACCUUGUCUUUACACAACUUCCUCUCAGCUAUGUAGACUUAAAGUAUUAAUUGGGAACAAUUUGUGGAGGAAUGUAACAGUUUUUUGGGGUGAUUUGUGAUGUUUUAUUUGUGCUUCCCAUGACUGUGUUUUAGUAUUAAAAUGUUCUAUAUGUUUGGGUCUAAUCUUUAUAUUGACUGUAUGUUGUAUAUUCAGGGCACAUUUGUGGAAAAAGACCCUAGGUCUCAGUAUGUUUUCCCUGUUAAAAUAAAGGUUAAAACAUGG